UACAGAGGGUGCAAGCGUUAAUCGGAAUUACUGGGCGUAAAGCGUGCGUAGUCGGCUUUUUAAGUCGGGUGUGAAAUCUCCGGGCUCAACCUGGAAAUUGCAUUCGAUACUGGAAGGCUAGAGUUCGGCAGAGGGAAGUGGAAUUUCUGGUGUAGCGGUGAAAUGCGUAGAUAUCAGAAGGAACAUCAGUGGCGAAAGCGGCUUCCUGGACCAGAACUGACGAUCAGGCACGAAAGCGUGGGGAGCAAACAGG
This 253-nucleotide ribosomal RNA is filed under the name uncultured bacterium. RNAcentral's name for it is "partial 16S ribosomal RNA". It matches the Rfam family "Bacterial small subunit ribosomal RNA", at positions 524 to 776 of the family's 1533-position model. The record is from RNAcentral.